Molecule: ribosomal RNA, 253 nt
Filed under: uncultured bacterium
Lineage: Bacteria
Description: partial 16S ribosomal RNA
Rfam family: Bacterial small subunit ribosomal RNA
Source: RNAcentral
UACGUAGGGUGCGAGCGUUAAUCGGAAUUAUUGGGCGUAAAGGGCGCGUAGGCGGCCUUUCAAGUGACGGGUGAAAUCCCUCGGCUUAACCGAGGAACUGCCUGUCAGACUGGGAGGCUUGAGACCGGGAGAGGUGAGUGGAAUUCCCAGUGUAGCGGUGAAAUGCGUAGAUAUUGGGAGGAACACCAGUGGCGAAGGCGGCUCACUGGACCGGAACUGACGCUGAGGCGCGAAAGCGUGGGGAGCAAACAGG